RNAcentral lists this ribosomal RNA (433 nucleotides) under uncultured bacterium. RNAcentral's name for it is "partial 16S ribosomal RNA". It matches the Rfam family "Bacterial small subunit ribosomal RNA", at positions 29 to 507 of the family's 1533-position model. The record is from RNAcentral.
AACGAACGCUGGCGGCAUGCCUAACACAUGCAAGUCGAACGAGACCUUCGGGUCUAGUGGCGCACGGGUUCGUAACGCGUGGGAACCUUCCCUUAGGUUCGGAAUAACUCCCCGAAAGGGGUGCUAAUACCGGAUAAUGUCUUCUGACCAAAGAUUUAUCGCCCUUGGAUGGGCCCUCGUUGGAUUAGCUAGUUGGUAGGGUAAAAGCCUACCAAGGCGCCGAUCCAUAGCUUGUCUGAGAGGAUGGUCAGCGACACUGGGACUGAGACACGGCCCAGAAUCCUACGGGAGGCAGGAGUGGGGGAUAGUGGACAAUGGGCGAAAGCCUGAUGCAGCAAUGCCGCGUGAGUGAUGAAGGCAUUAGGGUUGUAAAGCUCUUUUACCCGGGAUGAUAAUGACAGUACCGAGAGAAUAAGCUCCGGCUAACUCCGUG